AGAGUUUGAUCCUGGCUCAGGACAAACGCUGGCGGCGUGCCUAACACAUGCAAGUCGCACGGGGUUCCUGGCUUCGGCUGGGGAUCGAGUGGCGGACGGGUGAGUAACACGUGGAUGACGUAUCCUCGUGUGGGGGAUACCCUCCAGAAAUGGGGGUUAAUACCGCAUACGAUCUGGCUGGUAGAGCGGUCAGAGGAAAGUUGUGGGGUCAAAGCCCACGGCGCAGGGGGAGCGGUCUGCGACCGAUUAGCUAGUUGGUGGGGUAAGAGCCUACCAAGGCUGCGAUCGGUAGCUGGUCUGAGAGGAUGAUCAGCCACACUGGGAUUGAGGACGGCCCAGACUCCUACGGGGGGCAGCAGUGAGGGAUCUUCGUCAAUGGGGGCAACCCUGAACGAGCAACGCCGCGUGUGGGAAGACGGCCUUCGGGUUGUAAACCACUUUUCUCGGGGACGAGACAGGACGGUACCCGAGGAAGAAGUCUCGGCUAACUACGUGCCAGCCGCCGCGGUAAUAC
Molecule: ribosomal RNA, 514 nt
Filed under: uncultured bacterium
Lineage: Bacteria
Description: bacterial SSU rRNA
Rfam family: Bacterial small subunit ribosomal RNA
Source: RNAcentral